This 376-nucleotide ribosomal RNA is filed under the name uncultured bacterium. RNAcentral describes it as "bacterial SSU rRNA". It matches the Rfam family "Bacterial small subunit ribosomal RNA", at positions 29 to 407 of the family's 1533-position model. The record is from RNAcentral.
AUUGAACGCUGGCGGCAUGCCUUACACAUGCAAGUCGAACGGUAACAGGCCGCAAGGUGCUGACGAGUGGCGAACGGGUGAGUAAUGUAUCGGAACGUGCCCAGUCGUGGGGGAUAACUGCUCGAAAGAGCAGCUAAUACCGCAUACGACCUGAGGGUGAAAGCGGGGGGACCGUAAGGCCUCGCGCGAUUGGAGCGGCCGAUAUCAGAUUAGGUAGUUGGUGAGGUAAAGGCUCACCAAGCCGACGAUCUGUAGCUGGUCUGAGAGGACGACCAGCCACACUGGGACUGAGACACGGCCCAGACUCCUACGGGAGGCAGCAGUGGGGAAUUUUGGACAAUGGACGCAAGUCUGAUCCAGCCAUGCCGCGUGCGGG